This 334-nucleotide ribosomal RNA is filed under the name uncultured eukaryote. Its description in RNAcentral is "partial 18S ribosomal RNA". It matches the Rfam family "Eukaryotic small subunit ribosomal RNA", at positions 1470 to 1796 of the family's 1831-position model. The record is from RNAcentral.
CCCUUAGAUGUCCGGGGCCGCACGCGCGUUACACUGAAGGAAUCAGCGUGGCUUUCUCCCUGACCCGAAAGGGUUGGGAAACCCGUUGAAUCUCCUUCGUGAUAGGGAUUGGGGCUUGAAAUUGUUCCCCAUGAACGAGGAAUUCCCAGUAAGCGCGAGUCAUAAGCUCGCGUUGAUUACGUCCCUGCCCUUUGUACACACCGCCCGUCGCUACUACCGAUUGAACGGUUUAGUGAGGGCCUCGGAUUGGUCUCGGCCCGCUCUUUACCGGGCGGCGCCGUUGGUCGAGAAGACGCUCGAACUUGAUCGUUUAGAGGAAGUAAAAGUCGUAACA